Molecule: long non-coding RNA, 5013 nt
Organism: Acinonyx jubatus (cheetah)
Lineage: Eukaryota; Metazoa; Chordata; Mammalia; Carnivora; Felidae
Exons: 3
Source: RefSeq, a predicted model, not a curated record
GCAGCUGCCUCUGGUGAGUGGGACCUGGGCUGGGGGCGGUGAAGCAGCAUACUGUUGCUUUUGUUAAUAAAUCUUGUGCUGCUACCUUUUAGUUAUUUAUUUAAAAAUGUUUUAAUGUUUACUUAUUUUUGAGAGAAAGAGAGAAAGAGCGGGGGAAGGGCAGAGAGAGGAGGACACACAGAAUCUGAAGCAGGGUCCAGGCUCCGAGCUGUCAGCACAGAGCCCAACGUGGGGCUUGAACUCACAAACCGUGAGAUCAUGGACCUGAGCUGAAGUCGGUGCUUAACCAACCGAGCCACCCAGGUGCCCCUCUACCUGACUUCUAAAACAACGUACAUGUAUAACUUGGAUAAAAAAUAAGGAAAUUCAGAAGUUGAAAAAUACAAGCAGAGCCAAGAAGAGGAGACAAACCUACGACUUGAAGCAACCUCCAAUUUUGUCCUACCAUGUAGGACAGUGUCGGCAUCUCACGUGCGACCUGACUGCAUAACAACACAGCCGCACAGCUUUGUAAUUCACCAGAACGAAUCUGAUGUGGUGUGAACCAGCAGAAAUGAAGUUAUAAUCCUGAGUUUGGGAGAAGAUUUGUAGAUUAUCACAAUAAAGAAUUUAAAAGGAUUCUUUUUUCUUAACUUUGUUUAACGUUUAUUUUUGAGAGACAGAGAGAGACGGCAAACGAGAGAGGGAGACACAGAAUCCGAAGCAGGCUCCAGGCUCUUAGCUGUCAGCACAGGGCCCUAUGUGGUGCUCGAACCCACAAAUUGUGAGAUCAUGCCCCGAGCUGAAGUUGGAUGCUUAACUGACUAAGCCACCCAGGUGCCCCUAAUUUAAAAGGAUUCUAACAGCUGAACCCACCGAACUGUAGUGCCAGAUAACCACCCUUCUAAACAUGGGAAGUUGUCCUUGCAUAGGCAUUUGGGAUUUAGAUACUCAAUUAUCUUUCUUUUUACCCAAUUCCUCCCCCAUCCACAGGUCUGUCCCCACCCUGUCACACUGCUCCUGCUCAACCUUUCCAUUUCAGCCAAAUGUUUUAUUUCAUUCUUGUUUUGUUUCUUUUUUUUUUUUUUUAAUCACUUAACCCCAGCCCCAACAUCUUCUCCUAACUUGCCCAAUUUCUCAUCUUGCUUUGAAAUCCUUGUAUUGGUCGGUCUUCUUCCCAUAGUCUUUUGGAGUGUCUGGGAGUUCUUUAUAAUUCUGAAGUAUGGAUAAUUCAGUAGUAAGAUUUAUUCAAGUCUUUUGGCCUGCACAACCUCUUUUUCUAUGUUGUCAUUCCUCUUCUUGGAUUUAUCAGUCUGCCUGGCUCAGCUGGCAAGCCCCUGGCCUUCUGAGCAAUAUUCCUAAUGUUGGAUAUGGUCACGAGCAUACUUCUGGAUGAGGGCCAUCUCAUAACGAUGUGAAAGAAAAGGAUUGUCAAAAUCCAGUGUCACUGCUUGGGGGAAGAUGAUCCUUGGGGCAAAACCAAUGUUGGAUGAAAAAUACUUAAAAACCUUGCACAAAGCCUUUUAGAGAUUACCAGCCAAAGUACACACAAUGUACAAAGAGUAGAAAUGGAGAGGCUCUGUCUACUGGAAGGUGUGAACAUGGGCAAGGAAGUGCCAUGAAAGAAGGGUAAACAUGUAAAAAAAAAAAAUGCUGUGUAAGAGCAAGAUCUGUGGAGAGAAAAUGAUCUAUUACUGAGCCAAACAGUAGUAUGUAGCUAAUCCAGGCAGAGAGCUGACUUUUUUCCCACUUCUAAUUUUCAUGAUUUAUAUAUUUAAUCAGUUAUCCAAGUAUCACCCAUUACACACUUGUGCAGCUUAACAUGGGACUUGUUUCAGAGCGUGCGCGUCAGGUGGUGCUUACAUUGCUUACAAGGCUUGGUCAUUCAGGAUGGGAUUGUAAUUUCAAGGUAAUAAUGAAGUGUGAUGCUGCAAUUCCACAAUUUAAUUUGGGUAAACCCAUAAAUGUGGGUCAGAAAGUCACAUCUUAAGGUAAGUAACUUCUGAUGGAAUUCUUGCUGCCAUGUGGUGAAAUGUAUGUCUUAAUGAGCUUCCCUAUGAGAUGGGCACAUAUAGUCACUAUGGACAGGAAGAUAUGAGAGUAUGCUUUCUUUGUGGAUGCUCCCCAGGGCGGCCUUUGCAUUUGUCCCUGCAUGCUUGGUCAGAGGUCCACCUACCCAGCUCUGUGCCUCCAGAGCCUUAAAACCACCCAUCUCUUCACCUCCCACAACACCAGGGACAAAUGGAAUGAGACAAAUUGGUUAAGGAAGUUGCCACUUCUUACCCAGUGAUGUGUCCCUAGAGGCUCUGAGAUCCAUUUGAAUCAAGUCACCAGCAGUCAAAUUCAGUGGUCAUGGGAAGAGGUGGGAUGCUCAGGAUACAUGAAGAAGCUAGUCCAGAAAAACUGGUGAAGGUCAAGGACCUCCCUAGUUGAUACGAUCUAGGAGAACAGAGGCAUUCUCUGGCUCUAUAGUGGCUAAUGUCCUCCUGCAAAACCACUCCUUUAGUAACUCAAAAAAAUAUUAAUAUGUGCCAGGUAUUAUAUGGGUAUUGGUAAUGUAGAUAUGAACAAAGCAGACAAGGUCCUACUUUCAUGAAACUUAAAGCCUACAGCAAAGACAGAAAUUAGUAAGUAAAUUACAAGCAACGUAAUAUUAUAAAUUGUGACAGGUGUUAUGAAGGAGAAAAACAGGGUUCUAUGAGAGAGACUAACAGAGGAGGCCAACUUUACUUUGCCUGGAAACGGUCAUUUAACCAGUGUGGCUCAAUGAUCAUUUGAGCAGCCAGGCAAAGAGCAGAGAUUAGGGACUACCUCUGAGAGUCCAAAGAAGUGUCAGAGGCAAUCUUGGAUCUGAAGGAGAUUAUGACUUAGUUGAAGAGAUCUAGUGAUGUCUUACUUUUGCACAGAGUUUUACCACUUGGAGAUGACCUCCAUGUACACGGAUUUGAGGCAGGUAUGGCACACACAUAAAAAGAGACUAACAAUACUUGUGCUCAGUGAGCCAGCACAGUCCCUUGGCUGGGAUGGAAUAUAAGGCUAGAAGCCAGAGGCAGAUUGACUUCUCUGCUUUCCAAGCAUCCCAAAUCCUAGGGCACAGCAGCCUGCCUUGCCCCAGGGUACUUACUUAUUCCUGUUUCCUUACAAAAACACCUGCCCUGACUUGCCCUCUGCUCCACCCACAGGAAUGUUAGUUAGGCUUGUUCAAGUUCCUAGAAAUAGGUCACCACUGGUUUUAGAGAGGGGAUGGGAGUGUGAAACCCUCUCUUUGGAAAAAUGCUAAAACGCCGAUCCCUAUCUCGGUGGUUGGAUUGCACAAUUCAAAGUAUGGUGACUUAGAGAAGUCAUGGUCUCCAGGGGUCAUCCCAACAGGGGAAGGCGAGUGUUCGCCUUUUUAUAGACACGGGAUGCAGAGAGUCAGAACGGAAGUGCCCCUCCAAAAAGAUGGAGGCGCCCUAGAGCCCCACUUCACCUGCCCCUCCUGCAACCACGAGAAGUUUGUGAGGAGAAAAUGGACCAUGCCAGCAACACUAGGAUCAUCUCUUGAACGGCAUGCCUAGAGGAAUCCCACAAGCCCAUCACAUUACCUGUCAGAGGCAGUGGAUGUUACAGAGAUUAGACAGAUGCCUGUCAGGCAGCCAACCAGUAACAUGGCAGAGGACCCACUCCCCUGGCAGUCGCACCUGCUGUGGACCUGCCCAGCAGCCCAGCCCUUUGUGUGUAUGGAGUGGGUAUGGAUGUGGUUGUGAGUGUGCAUGGCUGUGGGGGUGUGCUUGUGGGCAUGGAUUCACCUCGCUUUGAAAGCCUUUAACUUGCUGGCUCCUUUGCCCUGGUGUCCUGUCAUCCCGGGCAAGGGCUCUCCAGGACUUCCCAGGCUCCUCAUCCACCUCACCAGCACUCCACCCAUUUGAACUGGACUACCUGCCCCCCUUUCCUGCAUUCCGAGGCCUGUGGCCUGAGAAUUAAAGCUGCAGUCCCACAGGCCCCUAGGCUGGGCCCUUGCAGAACAGCUCCUUUUCAUAUUAAGUUGCUUUUGUAGAGGAAGAAGGGGCUGGGUCUGGGAUGGCUGUCAGUCAUGAGCCCUUAAAUAAUGCAGUGAUGAAAAACAAACAAAACAAAGCAAGACAGGGCAACAGGAAGGUACUUGAAAGCUUUUACAGAUUUGGGACAGUGGGAGCCCCUGCUGGUGCUGCAACCUUGAGAAAGGAAAGUCAGUAAAUGCGGACUGAAUGGUGCACAGCAGCCAGCAAGAUGGUGGAAGUUCGUAAGGGGUCUGCGAGUGUGGGUUAAGCCAUGGUCGAGAAGAGUCUGGCUCAGCAGCUCCAAUUGGCCCGAGAACAAUACACACAACAAAAGAGUGUGAGAGAAGAAAGGUUAAGAAUCUAGGGAUGAUGCCAAGACUUUUGACUCUGGAAAAACAAGUAUUAACACUCGCAAAGCUGAGACCUGGGCCCAAGAACACUUGUCUCAUGGUGCUUGCUCAGGUGUGAGUGCACAUGUAUACACGCACAUGCAUGCACACAGUCACAGAGUUACCUCCCCCAACGUAAGAGGCGUCUGAAGCCAUUUGUGGUACCAUGGGGAUCCAAUUAACCACAGCCUCUCACAAACAUUAACACACUAGUUAGACAUGAAAAACACUGCUGUGGCCCAUCAAAGGCAAGCUAUAGCUCACAGAGCAGCCCUGAAUAAAACAAAGACCUAAAGACAGCAGGGUUGCUUUGGAAGCAAUAGACUUUAUGACCACAAUUUGACCCAGGAUUUUACAGCUGAGACAAGCAGAGAUUUGGGCAGCGCGAGGCUUACAACACUUCACAAGAGUGUCCUGGAGUGGCUUUCUUAUCCAACGUGUACCUCCAGCCUCCCCUGUGCAAGCCACUUAACAGGGAGACCAAAUGCUGUACCGCAAGGAGACGCAGAACGUCAUCCAGACAGACGGUCAGGUAGUUCCUUUCUUCAAGUUUUCAAAAAUGCUGGGAUUCUGAUUUCUCUCCAAAUGGGACCACUGUUGGGGUCUGUGCUUUGAAGUCCUGGCUA